This 1718-nucleotide ribosomal RNA is filed under the name Escherichia coli. RNAcentral's name for it is "partial 23S ribosomal RNA". It matches the Rfam family "Bacterial large subunit ribosomal RNA", at positions 1 to 1761 of the family's 2925-position model. Lineage: Bacteria; Pseudomonadati; Pseudomonadota; Gammaproteobacteria; Enterobacterales; Enterobacteriaceae. The record is from RNAcentral.
GGUUAAGCGACUAAGCGUACACGGUGGAUGCCCUGGCAGUCAGAGGCGAUGAAGGACGUGCUAAUCUGCGAUAAGCGUCGGUAAGGUGAUAUGAACCGUUAUAACCGGCGAUUUCCGAAUGGGGAAACCCAGUGUGUUUCGACACACUAUCAUUAACUGAAUCCAUAGGUUAAUGAGGCGAACCGGGGGAACUGAAACAUCUAAGUACCCCGAGGAAAAGAAAUCAACCGAGAUUCCCCCAGUAGCGGCGAGCGAACGGGGAGCAGCCCAGAGCCUGAAUCAGUGUGUGUGUUAGUGGAAGCGUCUGGAAAGGCGCGCGAUACAGGGUGACAGCCCCGUACACAAAAAUGCACAUGCUGUGAGCUCGAUGAGUAGGGCGGGACACGUGGUAUCCUGUCUGAAUAUGGGGGGACCAUCCUCCAAGGCUAAAUACUCCUGACUGACCGAUAGUGAACCAGUACCGUGAGGGAAAGGCGAAAAGAACCCCGGCGAGGGGAGUGAAAAAGAACCUGAAACCGUGUACGUACAAGCAGUGGGAGCACGCUUAGGCGUGUGACUGCGUACCUUUUGUAUAAUGGGUCAGCGACUUAUAUUCUGUAGCAAGGUUAACCGAAUAGGGGAGCCGAAGGGAAACCGAGUCUUAACUGGGCGUUAAGUUGCAGGGUAUAGACCCGAAACCCGGUGAUCUAGCCAUGGGCAGGUUGAAGGUUGGGUAACACUAACUGGAGGACCGAACCGACUAAUGUUGAAAAAUUAGCGGAUGACUUGUGGCUGGGGGUGAAAGGCCAAUCAAACCGGGAGAUAGCUGGUUCUCCCCGAAAGCUAUUUAGGUAGCGCCUCGUGAAUUCAUCUCCGGGGGUAGAGCACUGUUUCGGCAAGGGGGUCAUCCCGACUUACCAACCCGAUGCAAACUGCGAAUACCGGAGAAUGUUAUCACGGGAGACACACGGCGGGUGCUAACGUCCGUCGUGAAGAGGGAAACAACCCAGACCGCCAGCUAAGGUCCCAAAGUCAUGGUUAAGUGGGAAACGAUGUGGGAAGGCCCAGACAGCCAGGAUGUUGGCUUAGAAGCAGCCAUCAUUUAAAGAAAGCGUAAUAGCUCACUGGUCGAGUCGGCCUGCGCGGAAGAUGUAACGGGGCUAAACCAUGCACCGAAGCUGCGGCAGCGACGCUUAUGCGUUGUUGGGUAGGGGAGCGUUCUGUAAGCCUGUGAAGGUGUGCUGUGAGGCAUGCUGGAGGUAUCAGAAGUGCGAAUGCUGACAUAAGUAACGAUAAAGCGGGUGAAAAGCCCGCUCGCCGGAAGACCAAGGGUUCCUGUCCAACGUUAAUCGGGGCAGGGUGAGUCGACCCCUAAGGCGAGGCCGAAAGGCGUAGUCGAUGGGAAACAGGUUAAUAUUCCUGUACUUGGUGUUACUGCGAAGGGGGGACGGAGAAGGCUAUGUUGGCCGGGCGACGGUUGUCCCGGUUUAAGCGUGUAGGCUGGUUUUCCAGGCAAAUCCGGAAAAUCAAGGCUGAGGCGUGAUGACGAGGCACUACGGUGCUGAAGCAACAAAUGCCCUGCUUCCAGGAAAAGCCUCUAAGCAUCAGGUAACAUCAAAUCGUACCCCAAACCGACACAGGUGGUCAGGUAGAGAAUACCAAGGCGCUUGAGAGAACUCGGGUGAAGGAACUAGGCAAAAUGGUGCCGUAACUUCGGGAGAAGGCACGCUGAUAUGUAG